RNAcentral lists this ribosomal RNA (89 nucleotides) under Clostridioides difficile. The record is from RNAcentral. Lineage: Bacteria; Bacillati; Bacillota; Clostridia; Peptostreptococcales; Peptostreptococcaceae.
UGUUCCCAUUCCGAACACAGAAGUUAAGCUCUCUAGCGCUGAUGGUACUUGGUGGGAAACUGCCUGGGAGAGUAGGACGUAGCCACGUU